RNAcentral lists this ribosomal RNA (628 nucleotides) under uncultured bacterium. RNAcentral describes it as "bacterial SSU rRNA". It matches the Rfam family "Bacterial small subunit ribosomal RNA", at positions 202 to 847 of the family's 1533-position model. The record is from RNAcentral.
CAAAGCUUUAUUGCUGAAAGAUGGCUUCGCGUCUGAUUAGCUAGAUGGCGGGGUAACAGCCCACCAUGGCGACGAUCAGUAGCCGGUCUGAGAGGAUGAACGGCCACAUUGGGACUGAGAUACGGCCCAGACUCCUACGGGAGGCAGCAGUGGGGAAUAUUGGGCAAUGGGGGAAACCCUGACCCAGCAACGCCGCGUGAAGGAAGAAGGCCUUCGGGUUGUAAACUUCUUUUACCAGGGACGAAGGACGUGACGGUACCUGGAGAAAAAGCAACGGCUAACUACGUGCCAGCAGCCGCGGUAAUACGUAGGUUGCAAGCGUUGUCCGGAUUUACUGGGUGUAAAGGGCGUGUAGGCGGAGAUGCAAGUCGGGAGUGAAAUCCAUGGGCUCAACCCAUGAACUGCUUUCGAAACUGUAUCCCUUGAGUAUCGGAGAGGCAAGCGGAAUUCCUAGUGUAGCGGUGAAAUGCGUAGAUAUUAGGAGGAACACCAGUGGCGAAGGCGGCUUGCUGGACGACAACUGACGCUGAGGCGCGAAAGCGUGGGGAGCAAACAGGAUUAGAUACCCUGGUAGUCCACGCUGUAAACGAUGAAUACUAGGUGUGGGAGGACUGACCCCUUCCGUGCC